RNAcentral lists this ribosomal RNA (155 nucleotides) under uncultured soil bacterium. Its description in RNAcentral is "partial 16S ribosomal RNA". It matches the Rfam family "Bacterial small subunit ribosomal RNA", at positions 26 to 175 of the family's 1533-position model. The record is from RNAcentral.
AGAGUGAACGCUGGCGGCAGGCCUAAUACAUGCAAGUCGAACGGCAGCACAGCAGGCUUGCUCUGUGGGUGGCGAGUGGCGGACGGGUGAGGAAUACAUGGGAAUCUGCCCAGUCGUGGGGGAUAACGUAGGGAAACUUACGCUAAUACCGCAUG